This 584-nucleotide ribosomal RNA is filed under the name uncultured bacterium. RNAcentral's name for it is "bacterial SSU rRNA". It matches the Rfam family "Bacterial small subunit ribosomal RNA", at positions 338 to 916 of the family's 1533-position model. The record is from RNAcentral.
CCUACGGGAGGCAGCAGUGGGGAAUUUUGGACAAUGGGCGCAAGCCUGAUCCAGCCAUGCCGCGUGCAGGAUGAAGGCCUUCGGGUUGUAAACUGCUUUUGUACGGAACGAAAAGGUCUUUUUAAUAAAGAGGGCCCAUGACGGUACCGUAAGAAUAAGCACCGGCUAACUACGUGCCAGCAGCCGCGGUAAUACGUAGGGUGCAGGCGUUAAUCGGAAUUACUGGGCGUAAAGCGUGCGCAGGCGGUAAUGUAAGACAGAUGUGAAAUCCCCGGGCUCAACCUGGGAACUGCAUUUGUGACUGCAUUGCUGGAGUGCGGCAGAGGGGGAUGGAAUUCCGCGUGUAGCAGUGAAAUGCGUAGAUAUGCGGAGGAACACCGAUGGCGAAGGCAAUCCCCUGGGCCUGCACUGACGCUCAUGCACGAAAGCGUGGGGAGCAAACAGGAUUAGAUACCCUGGUAGUCCACGCCCUAAACGAUGUCAACUGGUUGUUGGGUCUUCAUUGACUCAGUAACGAAGCUAACGCGUGAAGUUGACCGCCUGGGGAGUACGGCCGCAAGGUUGAAACUUAAAGGAAUUGACGG